CAAUAGCGUAUAUUAAAGUUGUUGCAGUUAAAAAGCUCGUAGUUGGAUUUCGGGGCAGCCUGGCUGGUCCGCCGCAAGGCGAGUACUGGUCAGCCGCCCUUCCUCUCGAAAGCCCCGACUGCUCUUCGUUGCAGUGGUCGGGUAGUUCGGGACGUUUACUUUGAAAAAAUUAGAGUGUUCAAGGCAGGCCUACGCCUGAAUACAUUAGCAUGGAAUAAUGGAAGAGGACCUCGGUCCUAUUUUGUUGGUUUCCAGGGCCGAAGUAAUGAUUAAGAGGGACAGUUGGGGGCAUUCGUAUCUAAUUGUCAGAGGUGAAAUUCUCGGAUUUAUGAAAGACGAACAACUGCGAAAGCAUUUGCCAAGGAUGUUUUCAUUAA
This 377-nucleotide ribosomal RNA is filed under the name uncultured eukaryote. RNAcentral describes it as "partial 18S ribosomal RNA". It matches the Rfam family "Eukaryotic small subunit ribosomal RNA", at positions 592 to 976 of the family's 1831-position model. The record is from RNAcentral.